This 67-nucleotide transfer RNA is filed under the name Amitermes sp. ANIC 0017. RNAcentral describes it as "tRNA-Asn". Lineage: Eukaryota; Metazoa; Arthropoda; Insecta; Blattodea; Termitidae. The record is from RNAcentral.
UUAACUGAAACCAAAGAAAGAGGUAUAUUAUUGUUAAUAAUAAAAUUGAACUUAAGUUCCAGUUAAG